AUCAGAUUUACAGUACGCACAUAGAUUGCUGACUAACCCUUUCAGGCCCAGCAUACUUUAACAAUGCUAGGUGCACUGACUGUGAAAAGGAUAAUAAUUCAGAAUAAAGUGACGCAAAUCCUAGCACAAAAAUAGUAUACAUCGCUACACGUCAAAUAUUAUCUGACAGGAUUAUUUGCAUAACUAUCAAUUGUCCAGAUUUCACAGGAAUUUCAAAUUUGGAUGACAAUAGCUGAUCUGAAAAAAAAACCUCUAAGUCAGCAGUAUUUCC
Pelobates cultripes (western spadefoot toad) is the source of this 271-nucleotide non-coding RNA. The record is from the annotation of a GenBank genome assembly. NCBI's taxonomy places the organism in Eukaryota, Metazoa, Chordata, Amphibia, Anura, Pelobatidae.